CCUACGGGAGGCUGCAGUGAGGAAUAUUGGUCAAUGGACGAGAGUCUGAACCAGCCAAGUAGCGUGAAGGAUGACUGCCCUAUGGGUUGUAAACUUCUUUUAUAUGGGAAUAAAAUGUUCCACGUGUGGGAUUUUGUAUGUACCAUAUGAAUAAGGAUCGGCUAACUCCGUGCCAGCAGCCGCGGUAAUACGGAGGAUCCGAGCGUUAUCCGGAUUUAUUGGGUUUAAAGGGAGCGUAGGUGGAUUGUUAAGUCAGUUGUGAAAGGUUGCGGCUCAACCGUAAAAUUGCAGUUGAAACUGGCAGUCUUGAGUACAGUAGAGGUGGGCGGAAUGCGUGGUGUAGCGGUGAAAUGCUUAGAUAUCACGAAGAACUCCGAUUGCGAAGGCAGCUCACUGGACUGCAACUGACACUGAGGCUCGAAAGUGUGGGUAUCAAACAGGAUUAGAUACCCCUGUAGUC
Molecule: ribosomal RNA, 460 nt
Filed under: uncultured bacterium
Lineage: Bacteria
Description: partial 16S ribosomal RNA
Rfam family: Bacterial small subunit ribosomal RNA
Source: RNAcentral